AACGAACGCUGGCGGCAGGCUUAACACAUGCAAGUCGAACGCCCCGCAAGGGGAGUGGCAGACGGGUGAGUAACACGUGGGAACAUGCCCAAAGGUACGGAAUAUUCUCGGGAAACUGAGAGCAAUACCGUAUGUGCCCGAAAGGGGAAAGAUUUAUCGCCUUUGGAUUGGCCCGCGUCGGAUUAGCUAGUUGGUGGGGUAAAAGCCUACCAAGGCGACGAUCCGUAGCUGGUCUGAGAGGACGACCAGCCACACUGGGACUGAGACACGGCCCAGACUCCUACGGGAGGCAGCAGUGGGGAAUCUUGGACAAUGGGCGCAAGCCUGAUCCAGCCAUGCCGCGUGGAUGAUGAAGGCCCUAGGGUUGCAAAAUCCUUUCGUUGGGGACGAUAAUGACGGUACCCAAAGAAGAAGCUCCGGCUAACUUCGUG
Molecule: ribosomal RNA, 431 nt
Filed under: uncultured bacterium
Lineage: Bacteria
Description: partial 16S ribosomal RNA
Rfam family: Bacterial small subunit ribosomal RNA
Source: RNAcentral